CAAAAAAGCUAUGGUCCUGUGAUGGGUGAUGUUAAAAAGGCACAUAUAAACCUCAGUAAUGGACAAGUGCUGAAAAGCCAAAGGGGUUAAUCCAAAUCCUGGGGGACAAUUGAACCACCACAGAGGAGAACCACCUCUGCAAAACCCCAUGUGGCAUCUAGUUGUUCCACUCAGACAGCUCCAGCCCUACUAC
This is a long non-coding RNA of Alligator sinensis (Chinese alligator), 193 nucleotides long. RefSeq lists it as uncharacterized. The record is from RefSeq and is a predicted model, not a curated record. NCBI's taxonomy places the organism in Eukaryota, Metazoa, Chordata, Crocodylia, Alligatoridae. The transcript has 3 exons.